AGUUGUGUAAUGGGGGCUCAGUCACCGAACUUGUCAAAGGUCUACUCAGGUGUGGCCAGCAUUUGGAUGAAGCAAUGAUCUCAUACAUCUUAUAUGGGGCCCUCUUGGGCCUUCAGCAUUUGCACAAUAACCGAAUCAUCCACCGUGAUGUCAAGGGGAAUAACAUUCUACUGACAACAGAAGGAGGAGUUAAGCUCGUUGACUUUGGUGUCUCCGCUCAACUCACCAGUACACGUCUACGGAGAAACACAUCUGUUGGCACCCCAUUCUGGAUGGCUCCUGAG
Non-coding RNA from Leptonychotes weddellii (Weddell seal), 284 nucleotides. The record is from RefSeq and is a predicted model, not a curated record. NCBI's taxonomy places the organism in Eukaryota, Metazoa, Chordata, Mammalia, Carnivora, Phocidae.